GUCCAGACUCCUACGGGAGGCAGCAGUGAGGAAUAUUGGUCAAUGGGCGGAAGCCUGAACCAGCCAAGUCGCGUGAGGGAAUAAGGCCCUACGGGUCGUAAACCUCUUUUGCCGGGGAGCAAGGGCCGGGACGAGUCCCGGUCCGGAGAGUACCCGGAGAAAAAGCAUCGGCUAACUCCGUGCCAGCAGCCGCGGUAAUACGGAGGAUGCGAGCGUUAUCCGGAUUUAUUGGGUUUAAAGGGUGCGUAGGCGGGCUUUUAAGUCAGCGGUAAAAAUUCGGGGCUCAACCCCGUCCGGCCGUUGAAACUGGGGGCCUUGAGUGGGCGAGAAGAAGGCGGAAUGCGUGGUGUAGCGGUGAAAUGCUUAGAUAUCACGAAGAACCCCGAUUGCGAAGGCAGCCUGCCGCAGCGUUACUGACGCUGAAGCUCGAAAGCGCGGGUAUCGAACAGGAUUAGAUACCCGAGUA
This 466-nucleotide ribosomal RNA is filed under the name uncultured bacterium. Its description in RNAcentral is "bacterial SSU rRNA". It matches the Rfam family "Bacterial small subunit ribosomal RNA", at positions 329 to 792 of the family's 1533-position model. The record is from RNAcentral.